GGGGGGUUUGGUUGGGAAGAAGGGGGGAAGGGCGCAAAAGGAAAUAGAAGAAAAACAGAAAAAAUAGGCAUUGGGCUCGUGGCUCACUGGUUGAGCGCUUGCUUGUAGUGCACCUUUUGAAAAUUUCUGAUGUACCCAAAAAAUAAAAAAGCAAAGACAGCUUCUAUGUACAUGUCACCAUGAAUCAGCAAGGACCAUUCACAAAGUCUAUUGGUCACUCAUGAAGGGAAAAUAUGAUCUUGCAUUUCAAGAGCAAAGGGAAAGUGUAAGAUUGGACAAAUUGCAAUAAUUUAUCACAUACGUCUUCCAACCAGCAACAAUUUUGGAACAGAAAAGUCAGAAGAUGGAUGUAAAAUCUGACCCAUGUAACUAAUUUUUACCAAAACAUCAUUGCUAUAAAAGAGCAUUAAACCAUACCGCUCCUUCCUCUCUUGC
This 435-nucleotide unclassified non-coding RNA is filed under the name Hevea brasiliensis (rubber tree). Lineage: Eukaryota; Viridiplantae; Streptophyta; Magnoliopsida; Malpighiales; Euphorbiaceae. The record is from RNAcentral.